This 406-nucleotide ribosomal RNA is filed under the name uncultured bacterium. RNAcentral's name for it is "partial 16S ribosomal RNA". It matches the Rfam family "Bacterial small subunit ribosomal RNA", at positions 30 to 526 of the family's 1533-position model. The record is from RNAcentral.
AUUGAACGCUGGCGGCAUGCCUAACACAUGCAAGUCGAACGAGUGGCGGACGGGUGAGUAAUGUCCGGGAAACUGCCUGAUGGAGGGGGAUAACUACUGGAAACGGUAGCUAAUACCGCAUACCAUCGGAUGUGCCCAGAGGGGAUUAGCUUGGUGGUGGGGUAGCGGCUCACCAAGGAGACGAUCCCUAGGUGGUCUGAGAGGAUGACCAGCCACACUGGAACUGAGACACGGUCCAAAGUCCUACGGGAGGCAGCAGUAGGGAAUAUGGCACAAUGGGCGCAAGCCUGAUACAGCCAUGCCGCGUGUAUGAAGAAGGCCUUCGGGUUGUAAAGUACUUUCAGCGGGGAGGCGUUACCCGCAGAAGAAGCACCGGCUAACUCCGUGCCAGCAGCCGCGGUAAUUC